Molecule: small nucleolar RNA, 134 nt
Organism: Myotis lucifugus (little brown bat)
Lineage: Eukaryota; Metazoa; Chordata; Mammalia; Chiroptera; Vespertilionidae
Product: small nucleolar RNA SNORA5
Source: Ensembl
UGCAGCCGUGUCAAAUUCGGUGCCUGCCCACCCAUGGCAGGCACUGGCCCAGAAGGCUGCCACAGAAACACUGUGGUGCAUGGGCCCUGAUCCCCUCUGCUGGGCCUCAGGGAUAAGUUUGGCUACAGACAUCA